Molecule: ribosomal RNA, 890 nt
Filed under: uncultured bacterium
Lineage: Bacteria
Description: bacterial SSU rRNA
Rfam family: Bacterial small subunit ribosomal RNA
Source: RNAcentral
UUAGAGUUUGAUCCUGGCUCAGGAUGAACGCUGGCGGCGUGCCUAACACAUGCAAGUCGAACGAGCAAAUACAUUUGAUUUCUUCGGAAUGAAGAUGUAGGCGCGAGUGGCGGACGGGUGAGUAACGCGUGAGUAAUCUGCCUCAUACAGGAGAAUAACACUAAGGAAUUGGUGCUAAUACUCCAUAAGCUCACAUUAUGACAUCAUAGAGUGAGAAAAGAUUUAUCGGUAUGAGAGGAGCUCGCGUCUGAUUAGCUAGUUGGUGGGGUAACGGCCUACCAAGGCAACGAUCAGUAGCCGACCUGAGAGGGUGAUCGGCCACAUUGGAACUGAGACACGGUCCAAACUCCUACGGGAGGCAGCAGUGGGGAAUAUUGCACAAUGGGGGAAACCCUGAUGCAGCAACGCCGCGUGAAGGAAGAAGUAUUUCGGUAUGUAAACUUCUAUCGACAGGGAAGAAACAAAUGACGGUACCUGAAUAAGAAGCACCGGCUAAAUACGUGCCAGCAGCCGCGGUAAUACGUAUGGUGCAAGCGUUAUCCGGAUUUACUGGGUGUAAAGGGUGAGUAGGCGGUCAUGCAAGUCAUAUGUGAAAUGUCAGGGCUUAACCUUGGCGCUGCAUAAGAAACUGUAUGACUAGAGUGCAGGAGAGGUAAGCGGAAUUCCUAGUGUAGCGGUGAAAUGCGUAGAUAUUAGGAAGAACACCGGUGGCGAAGGCGGCUUACUGGACUGUUACUGACGCUGAGUCACGAAAGCGUGGGGAGCAAACAGGAUUAGAUACCCUGGUAGUCCACGCCGUAAACGAUGAGUGCUAGGUGUUGGCCAGAGAUGGUCGGUGCCGCAGCAAACGCAAUAAGCACUCCACCUGGGGAGUACGACCGCAAGGUUGA